GACGAACGCUGGCGGCGUGCUUAACACAUGCAAGUCGAACGGAAAGGCCUUUUCGGGGGUACUCGAGUGGCGCACGGGUGAGUAACACGUGGGUGAUCUGCCCUGCACUCUGGGAUAAGCCUGGGAAACUGGGUCUAAUACCGGAUAGGACCGCACUUUAGUGUGUGUGGUGGAAAGUUUUUUCGGUGUAGGAUGAGCCCGCGGCCUAUCAGCCUGUUGGUGGGGUAAUGGCCUACCAAGGCGGCGACGGGUAGCCGGACUGAGAGGUUGGUCGGCCACAUUGGGACUGAGAUACGGCCCAGACUCCUACGGGGGGCAGCAGUGGGGAAUAUUGCACAAUGGGCGCAAGCCUGAUGCAGCGACGCCGCGUGGGGGAUGACGGCCUUCGGGUUGUAAACUCCUUUCGCCAGGGACGAAGCGUUUUGUGACGGUACCUGGAGAAGAAGCACCGGCUAACUACGUG
This 463-nucleotide ribosomal RNA is filed under the name uncultured bacterium. RNAcentral's name for it is "partial 16S ribosomal RNA". It matches the Rfam family "Bacterial small subunit ribosomal RNA", at positions 28 to 507 of the family's 1533-position model. The record is from RNAcentral.